RNAcentral lists this transfer-messenger RNA (373 nucleotides) under Planosporangium mesophilum. It matches the Rfam family "transfer-messenger RNA". From Rfam's summary of the family: Bacterial tmRNA, also known as 10Sa RNA or SsrA, is named for its dual tRNA and mRNA-like properties. The record is from RNAcentral. Lineage: Bacteria; Bacillati; Actinomycetota; Actinomycetes; Micromonosporales; Micromonosporaceae.
GGGGGUGACUGGUUUCGACUUCGUGCGUCGAGGCAGGUGAAGCGAGCCGAGGAAGCCGACGUUGUCUCGUGAAUCAGUCGUCGGAAAAAAAUAAGCGCCAACAUCAAGCGCGAUCAGCUCGCCCUCGCCGCCUGAGGCUAGGAACGAGCUUGUCGGUCCGGGGGAGCCUUCGCCCCGGUACACCGGCAUCAGAUAGAAGGCUGGCCAAUCGAACCCGGUCGCGGGGGUCGUGCGGCGAGAUUAAUUGCGACUGGGCCCGUCACACCGACUCGCUCGCGUGAUCGGAGGGGCCGAGUAGAGGCAUAGCGAGCUGCGCUCGGAGAAGCCCUGGCAACACGACGAAGGACCCGGGUUCGAUUCCCGGCACCUCCAC